UUUACUGGCAGCUUUAAUUUUAGAUGAAAUGGUUUUUGACAGCUCAAAAGACCAAGAGAGGCUUAUCUUUUGUUUGAUUUAAGAAUUACAUUUUUCAAAAAGUUACAUGUGAAAUUGGGGUGAAAUAAUGAUUUUCUGUCUAGAAGACCAAGAGAGGUUUACCUUAGGUCUGCCUUAAGAACUACACUUUUUGAAAAAGUUGCAGUUGAAAUUGGAAUUGAAUAUUACUUAAUUGUAUGCAUUACCAUGCAUGUUAAUGAUUUAGUUGUAAGAUUUUAACUAAUUUAUUGCUUGAGCUGAGGCUAAUUUGUAACAAUUGCCCCUUGGUUUCUACUAAUUGUUUUUUUACAAGUAUCAAUUUAAUCAAUCAAGCAUCUUUGUUUUCCCUUAGAAGUGACAACUUCAUAAUUUACUCAAUCACUAUGGUGUCGACAAGUCCAUUCUACCACUUAUGCUUACACUUGAAGGUGGUAAGCGCUUGAGGUUAGGGCCCCCCCUUAGACCUAGACCUAUGCCUCAAGGGUUCAUUAUUGAUGACCUUGCCUACAUAUUUCCUCGUGAAAUCAGAGACUUUGUAGCUCACCCUUGAAGGUUAGAGGAUGUUCAUUUCUCUUCUUGUAUGAGAACUUUGAUCUCUCUUAAAACCCUAACUAUUAAUUAAUUGCAGUCUGUUAACUUAGUCUCAUUACAAUAGGAGAUAACCAUUAGCCAUCAAGUAGUGUACAAGCAUACACAAUUACAUAGGGGUAUUAUCCUUCCAUAAUUCCUAAUUCCAUAAAGAGCGUCUCAAGCACACAUCACCUAUACACAAGGUGACUGGCUCAUACAUAUCACACACAGUGACUAGCUCCAGCAUACGUCACUUAUACACAGUCGCUAAUUUCAGCAUAUGUCGUAGAUACACAAGGAAUAGCUUCAACAUACAUCACACACACAGUGACUAGCUUCAACAUACAUCACAUACAUAGUGACUAGCUUCAGCAUACACCAUAUACAUAGUGAUUAACUUCAAUGUACGCCACGUAUACACAGUGGCUAUCAUAUACAUAGUGAGAGUCUAACACAUCAACAACUAUAACCUGCCCAUGGUGCAUCCCAAAUAGAAAAGAAAUGUUGGUGCACUGCACACUACAUUGUGGGUCACAUUCCUUUCCCCAAUCUUUUGCACCAAUGAGCCACUACAAAGAGCAUUUGACGUAUCCCAUACUACAUUGAGGGUUCGCCUUCAACCCAACAAGGUCAAGUAUACCAUUUCCACAUCAAAAUAUGCCCAAAAUUAUACAAUUGAGGUUGGUCCAAUUAUUACCUACCUAUUCUUCAUUAUAAAUUCUCUUCACUACAAUCCAUUGGACGACUAAGCAAUGGGGACAUCCAUCGCUGGCAUGCAAUUGGUCCCAAGCCCACAUGCUUUUGACUUAAUCCAUCCAAUACCCUAGAUCAAUGUGGGGUAUCCCUCACCUGCAUGCAAUUGGCAGUGUCCAUCUGAUAACAAGGUUGUAUGGCUGCCCAAAAUCUUCUCUCCUAUAUCAUCGAAAUACCUUCAACCUUGAUGGAUGUCCAUACCCUAUUCCAAGCUCUCCUAGUAUAGCAGGUAGAGAUGAUAAGCUACAAUUGUCUUUUAUGGCUUCACACCCACCAAUUGCUUUUUCUUUAAAGUUUCUACGACUUUCAACAAAUCUAUUUGUGCCAAUAAUCCUCUCAUCCAUUUCUUCUUCUUCUUUAAGCGUAAUGGGGGUCUAUCAUUGGUUUAAAAAGCUCACUCUCUAUUCUCUUUUGAUGGACAUCCAUAGCCAGUCUACGAAUCCCAUUAUGGUGUAGACUUGGACAAUGUGGGCAAUGGCUAUGGAAUUUGGCUUUACAUUGCCAAUCGUAUUUUUCUAGAAGUUUCUAAAGCCUUUUCAACAAAUACAAUUUUGGGCCAUAUCUUGCGAUUGUUGCAUUCCAUGAGAUUACAUUUCUUUUAGGCUUUCAGUUAAACAAUUCACAUGCUUUGACUAUGCCCCCACAUUCUGCAUGCAGGUCUACUAGAGCAGCUACAACUACCACAUUGUUUUUCUUGCCCAUAUUCUCUCCUAGUCGAGUUUCAUGGGUAUUUAUACCAUUUAGAUACUCUCCUUCAAAAUUGGUUAAAAGCACAUUUUAUGAGGUCAUUUGUCAUGGUUUGGGUCUUCCAUGCUAGUUAUACCGUCCGACUGCCAUUUUCUACUCUCGAGAUGGUCGCCGUGCCCUCUCUAUAGCAGCCAUGUCCCUUCAUACAACUACACCUCUAAUCCUACUCACCUAUGGCAUACCCUCUUGACAGUCCUUUCAGUUUGCUUUAUUUUUAUUUAUUUAAGACCCCGUUAGAUGGGCUUGAUGUGGGGAUGUGAUAUAAUUGACAUCCUUCAUUAAUUGUAUUUUCUAGAUAGAAGAUAUGAAUUAUAUUGGGUAAAUGUUUGUGACAUUUUCUUUCAUCAAAUAAGUGGCUAUAGAUGCAUCUUAUAUUUCUCUAUAAAAGAAAUGAUAUAAACAUUAUAUUUGUUAUGUUGAUUCUGUAAACAAGAGAAUGCAGUUUCUGGAUUUAAUUGUGUACAAGUUUUUUGCAUAAAAAACAUACACAAUUAAAUCCAGAAGCAUUCUCUUGUUUAUAUGAUAGAUUAUGGAAAUCUUUUAGAAAUGUUGAUUCUAAUUUAAUUUUCUUUCAUGUAAGUAGGAUGAAUCUAUUUUGUUUUGAUAUGAUAUUUCUAUAUGUAAGGUUGAUUUAAUUAAUUUAAUAGAUAAUAACAAUAUGAACAAUAUUUCUAUAUGGAAGGCAGAGGAACAAUAUGUUAAUGGAUAUAUCACCAUUUUGAAAGGAGGAGAUGCAAACACAAUCAUGAAGUCAUCUUCUCCAUUGAAAUGGUUAGCAAACUAUCUUUCUUAGUUCAAAGUGUAGAGUUCACACCCUGAAUUUUGUAUUUUCUCAAGAUUACAAUUCCACAUCCAUGUAAAUCUUUUAUAACUAUGUUUUUUAACAAUUUAGAGGGUUCCAUGGGUUCCACAUCCAUGUUUAUCUUUAAUUAGAAAGAUAUUUUCAAUAAAUUUAGAAGGUUUCCAUGGGUUCUACAUCCAUGUUUAUCUUUUAUUAGAAAGAUACAAGGAAAAAUGUAUUUUCUCACUGAAAAACAUAAACGGCUACUCCCUCUUCUUCAUGGCCUUUGCUCUUUAAAGAAUUGGAUUCUAUAUUCUUCAGAGGGGAUGCCAAUUCAUCAGUUUUGUAAGUGUAAUCUGUCCUCCCCAAUUCAUUCUAAUUCAUUUUGAAUUAUCCCAAUAGUUAUACUUUUUAAUGAAAUCAGUAAUCUAUGGAGAACGUCUGGAGAGGGUUACCUGAGGCUUGGCUUAAGACAUGCAUUUUUGAGGGCAGGAAAAGAAAUAUUCUUCAGAGGGGAUGCCAAUUCAUCAGUUUUUAAUCUAUGGAGAAUGUCAGGAGAGGGUUACCCGAGGCUUGGCUUAAGACAUGCAUUUUUGAGAAUAGGGCUGCCCUUCUGAUACUUGGGAUUUCCAGGAGCACAAGGCAUGUGAACAACAAUAAAGCAGUGUUGUAUCAGUUGAUAGAGGAGCCUGGUUUUGGAUCCCUAAUUCUUCAAUUUGUGGGUUAUACUCAAAUUAUGGAUCCACAUAUUCUGUUAUACGACUGAAUCAAGACUGCUUUUUGAUGCUAAAGAUUUAUAGGAGGGGAAGGCAAAGGAAAAAUUAAAUAAUAGAUAUAUCACCACUUUGGAGGGUAGGAGAUGCAAAUACAAUCAUAAAGUCAUCUUCUCCAUUGAAAUGAGCAGGGAAGGAAAUAUUCUUCGGAGGAGAUAUCAAUUCAUCAAUUCUGAGAGACUUACCAUUGGCUUGGCUUAGGACCUGCAAUUUUUGAGAGUUAUAUCAGCUGGUAGAGGAGCCCUGUUUUGGAUCUCUAAUUCUUCAAUUUGUGGGAGGCAAAGGAACAACAAGAUAGCAUGGCAUGGCAAUCAUAGUCACCUUCUUUAUUGAAAUGGUCACUAGAAGAUUGGGAGAGGCUUACCUAUUGCUUGGCUUAAGACCUACAUUUUUGUGAG
This is a long non-coding RNA of Cryptomeria japonica (Japanese cedar), 4061 nucleotides long. RefSeq lists it as uncharacterized. The record is from RefSeq and is a predicted model, not a curated record. The transcript is spliced from 10 exons. NCBI's taxonomy places the organism in Eukaryota, Viridiplantae, Streptophyta, Pinopsida, Cupressales, Cupressaceae.